Molecule: ribosomal RNA, 397 nt
Filed under: uncultured bacterium
Lineage: Bacteria
Description: partial 16S ribosomal RNA
Rfam family: Bacterial small subunit ribosomal RNA
Source: RNAcentral
AUACGUAGGUGGCAAGCGUUGUCCGGAAUUAUUGGGCGUAAAGCGCGCGCAGGCGGUCCUUUAAGUCUGAUGUGAAAGCCCACGGCUCAACCGUGGAGGGUCAUUGGAAACUGGGGGACUUGAGUGCAGAAGAGGAAAGUGGAAUUCCAAGUGUAGCGGUGAAAUGCGUAGAGAUUUGGAGGAACACCAGUGGCGAAGGCGACUUUCUGGUUUGUAACUGACGCUGAGGCGCGAAAGCGUGGGGAGCAAACAGGAUUAGAUACCCUGGUAGUCCACGCCGUAAACGAUGAGUGCUAAGUGUUAGGGGGUUUCCGCCCCUUAGUGCUGCAGCUAACGCAUUAAGCACUCCGCCUGGGGAGUACGGUCGCAAGACUGAAACUCAAAUGAAUUGACGGGG